This 400-nucleotide ribosomal RNA is filed under the name Alonella excisa. RNAcentral describes it as "partial large subunit ribosomal RNA". It matches the Rfam family "Bacterial large subunit ribosomal RNA", at positions 1998 to 2610 of the family's 2925-position model. Lineage: Eukaryota; Metazoa; Arthropoda; Branchiopoda; Diplostraca; Chydoridae. The record is from RNAcentral.
GGCUGAACGAGAAAGCCUCUGUCUCAAGUUAUAAGCAUUUGAAUUUCAUUUAGACGUGCAAAAGCGUCUCUUAUUUUAAAAGACGAUCAGACCCUAUGGAGCUUUUAAAAGUUAACAUUAAGUAAAGUAACUAAAUACACACUUAAAGAAGCAUUUUUUGUUGGGGCGACAGGGAGAAUUUAAAAUAACACUCUUUUAAUCAAAUAUAUCUGAAUAAAAAGAUGAUCCUACAAAGUUAGAUUAAAAGACUAAGUUACCCUAGGGAUAACAGCGUCAUUUCUUUAGAGAGCCCAAAUCGAUAAAGAAGUUUGCGACCUCGAUGUUGGAUCAAAGUUCCUAUAAGGUGAAGCCGCUUUAUUAGGGGGUCUGUUCGACCUUUAAAUCUUUACGUGAUCUGAGU